UUGACAGCCUUGGAGACUGAGCAGGUACCGCAAGGAUAGUUGCAAUGCAAGCAUCCCCAUGUGGUCUUGCCAAUUUUCCUCAAUCCUGAUCUGAAGAAUCUACUUCUAGGGAUGAGAGGGGACUUCAUUCACCAUGGCCCGUUCAGUCACUGCCCUAU
Molecule: small RNA, 158 nt
Filed under: Chrysemys picta bellii (western painted turtle)
Lineage: Eukaryota; Metazoa; Chordata; Testudines; Emydidae
Description: TUC338 (ENSCPBG00000000371.1)
Source: RNAcentral